RNAcentral lists this ribosomal RNA (917 nucleotides) under Medicopsis romeroi. Its description in RNAcentral is "LSU rRNA". It matches the Rfam family "Eukaryotic large subunit ribosomal RNA", at positions 36 to 966 of the family's 3401-position model. Lineage: Eukaryota; Fungi; Ascomycota; Dothideomycetes; Pleosporales; Neohendersoniaceae. The record is from RNAcentral.
UAGCAUAUCAAUAAGCGGAGGAAAAGAAACCAACAGGGAUUGCCCUAGUAACGGCGAGUGAAGCGGCAACAGCUCAAAUUUGAAAUCUGGCUCUAUUUUGGAGUCCGAGUUGUAAUUUGUAGAGGGCGCUUUGGCGUCGGCAGCGGUCUAAGUUCCUUGGAACAGGACGUCACAGAGGGUGAGAAUCCCGUACGUGGUCGCGUGCCUUCGCCGUGUAAAGCCCCUUCGACGAGUCGAGUUGUUUGGGAAUGCAGCUCUAAAUGGGAGGUAAAUUUCUUCUAAAGCUAAAUACUGGCCAGAGACCGAUAGCGCACAAGUAGAGUGAUCGAAAGAUGAAAAGCACUUUGGAAAGAGAGUCAAAAAGCACGUGAAAUUGUUGAAAGGGAAGCGCUUGCAGCCAGACUUGCCUGCGGUUGCUCAUCCGGGCUCUUGCCCGGUGCACUCUUCCGUAGGCAGGCCAGCAUCAGUUUGGGCGGCUGGAUAAAGGCCUCUGUCAUGUACCUUCCCUCGGGAAGGCCUUAUAGGGGAGGCGUAAUGCAGCCAGCCUGGACUGAGGUCCGCGCAUUUGCUAGGAUGCUGGCGUAAUGGCUGUAAGCGGCCCGUCUUGAAACACGGACCAAGGAGUCUAACAUCUAUGCGAGUGUUUGGGUGUCAAGCCCGGGCGCGCAAUGAAAGUGAACGGAGGUGGGAACCCUUUGCGGGGUGCACCAUCGACCGAUCCUGAUGUCUUCGGAUGGAUUUGAGUAAGAGCAUAGCUGUUGGGACCCGAAAGAUGGUGAACUAUGCUUGAAUAGGGUGAAGCCAGAGGAAACUCUGGUGGAGGCUCGCAGCGGUUCUGACGUGCAAAUCGAUCGUCAAAUUUGGGCAUAGGGGCGAAAGACUAAUCGAAACUAUCUAGUAGCUGGUUCCUGCCGAAG